Molecule: long non-coding RNA, 821 nt
Organism: Pleuronectes platessa (European plaice)
Lineage: Eukaryota; Metazoa; Chordata; Actinopteri; Pleuronectiformes; Pleuronectidae
Exons: 2
Source: RefSeq, a predicted model, not a curated record
UUAUAGACCCAACAGAGGGGAACUAUUGAGUUACACAGCACGUACCAUUAUAGCGUGGGGAGAUCUGCCAACCCUCUCAGUGCCCCAUUUUCCUUUAAAAGUUCGCCUUCCAAAAAAGUGAGAGAGGGGGUGAGGGCAGAGGGAGGAAGACUUGGUCUCUUCGCUGUUGCCGGAAGCAAAAAAACAGGACCUUUAAACAAGUCGGCCUUAGGCCCAGAUAGAAAAAACACACGCGCUCUUUGAAAAGUGGGUCCACUCUGCAAGUGAUAGAGGAAAGGAGGACAGCAGCAGCUCCGAGCCCUGCGUCUACGGCUGUUUGGCCUCAGAUGCGCCCAUGUCCAGCGGGGAGACGUCUGCGUCAAAGUCCCGAGGUGCGUCCUUCAGCGGCUCAACUUCUCCAGUUUGACUGCUGUGAAAAAAAAAAAACUCCCCGAUAUAAUAUUUACAACUCGCUGAAAUCAAUGGACGGGAGCGCGCGAUGCAGAAUGCUGCUUGGAGCCCACACACGCCUGACGGCCUGUUUGGAGAAUGACCAGACGAUUGAAAAAAAAAAAAAAAACUGCCUCUAAACCCUCGAAUAAUCCCACUACACGACUUUUCCAAGUCUUAACCCCCUUCAUUCAAUUUGCAAGUAGAACAGUUGAGUGAGACCACCCCGUGUCCGAAGAUUGGUGCAGGCCAAACUGAAUCUAUGGAAACCUGCUCCUGAAACAUGUCAAUGCAAUCGAGAAAAACGUGUUUGCAAAACGAAAAAAAAUAAUCUACACCUGUAUUUUAUAUCAAUCUGGCUACAAUAAAAAAAAAAAAAUGUAUUAGUGCAA